Molecule: long non-coding RNA, 699 nt
Organism: Acyrthosiphon pisum (pea aphid)
Lineage: Eukaryota; Metazoa; Arthropoda; Insecta; Hemiptera; Aphididae
Exons: 3
Source: RefSeq, a predicted model, not a curated record
CUAAUACAAUAAUCGUAUAAAUUAUUUAAAUAAACUUAUAUACUUAGAUAAUAUACUUUAAUAUACUUUAUGAUAAACAUUAACCAGUAGCCACACAAAAUGCACCGACCUCGUGACCAUGUUAUGAAGACGACAAUGACGAAGAUGAUCAGAUUUCGCUGUCCGUCGUCCUGGGUGGUUACGGGAAAUGCAGAAGAGUUUGAUAAAGCGGCACAGUCUCACAAAAUUAACAGAUUUGUCGAUUCUGGAGGAAACUCAGGAAAACCUUUAGUAUAAAAUAGACGGGAAUUGCUGUGUAUCCUCGAUCAAUAAGUUACUGUGCGCUCUACGAUUUAACGCAACUAGGUGCUACCAAACAACUGCUGGAGAUCUGUGUAGCUUCAGUUCCUCUACAAUGAAUAGGAUUAUGCACAAAGUGGAGAUACCUAUGAGCGUUUUUGGAAUAGGAAAGUUUAUUAUUUUUUGAAUACCUAUUCAGGCAACAUGCAACUCAAAUCUGGAGAUCAUUGAUAUUGUAGUGAGAUAUGAUGGAAGUACUCAUGAUUCUAGAAAUAGUCAGUCUAACAGCGGUUCUCAAACUUUGUUUUGCGCGUACUACUUAAGUAUAUUAUCAAUUAGUCAAGUACCACUAAUGAUUAAAAAUAGAACGAUACAAACUCUACAUAGUUAAAUGCUUUUAUUUUAAAUAAAAAGGCAGUA